Molecule: long non-coding RNA, 277 nt
Organism: Macrobrachium nipponense
Lineage: Eukaryota; Metazoa; Arthropoda; Malacostraca; Decapoda; Palaemonidae
Exons: 3
Source: RefSeq, a predicted model, not a curated record
CGGGACCAAAUUCGUUUCCAGAGCACCCUCUUCUUAGAGUUCGUAACAGACGACAGCUCCAGCUUCCACACUAAAAGAAAUGAGUGGGUUUAACCUUUCCCCUCCUCAACUCACAGUGUCCACUGGCUCAGCCACAGUCAACCUGCUUCGCAAGCGGAGACGACACACACAGAUGAAGCCUGUGUAAGCAGAUUAUUGAGGUUAAAAGGAACAAAUGCUGAUACGGCAAUGAUGACGUCGUCACUUGGCAGGAGAUUGCUCUCAGCCAGCUAAGAGU